AGAGAGAGACAUGCGCGCAUAUCAAUAAGCGGAGGAAAAGAAACUAACUAGGAUUCCCUCAGUAACGGCGAGUGAAGCGGGAAGAGCUCAAAUUUGAAAUCUUCAAGGUUCUACCUUGACGAAUUGUAGUUUAAAGAAGUGUUUUCUGUUGGAGUUUUGGUAAAAGUUCUUUGGAAUAGGACAUCAUAGAGGGUGAGAAUCCCGUAUUUGAUCCAUUAUUUCAAGCUUUGUGAUACACUUUCAAAGAGUCGGAUUGUUUGGGAAUGCAGUCCAAAAUGGGUGGUAAAUUUCAUCUAAAGCUAAAUAUUGGCGAGAGACCGAUAGCGAACAAGUACCGUGAGGGAAAGAUGAAAAGAACUUUGAAAAGAGAGUUAAACAGUACGUGAAAUUGUCAAAAGGGAAGCGUUUGACACCAGUGUUGUUUUCUCGAAAAUCAAUUAAAAAAGGCAGGAUUUUGUGUUGUAUUGACUUUAUCAGCUUUCUGCACUCUUUUCUUGUCUUUUUUAAUGCACUUUUCGUUUAACAAGUCAACAUCAAUUUCUUUUGUUGUAAAAGGGUCAUUGGAAGGUGGCUUUCUUUUCGGAGAAAGUGUUUAUAGCCUUUGGCCUCUGCAAUCGGAGAGAUUGAGGUCUGCAGCGUAGAUCCUUCGGGGUUAGAUACAUUUGUGCUAAGUUAUAGCCUUUCAUAGACAACUUGUUGACUAUGAUCAGUCAUGUAGCUUACUCGCUUAUGCUAUUUUACCUACGCUUAGGAUGUUGAUGUGAUACUGCGAGC
RNAcentral lists this ribosomal RNA (774 nucleotides) under uncultured Neocallimastigales. RNAcentral describes it as "partial large subunit ribosomal RNA". It matches the Rfam family "Eukaryotic large subunit ribosomal RNA", at positions 23 to 645 of the family's 3401-position model. The record is from RNAcentral. Lineage: Eukaryota; Fungi; Neocallimastigomycota; Neocallimastigomycetes; Neocallimastigales.